GAUGAAGAACGUAGCGAAAUGCGAUAAGUAAUGUGAAUUGUAGAAUUCAGUGAAUCAUCGAAUCUUUGAACGCACAUUGCGCCCGCCAGCAUUCUGGCGGGCAUGCCUGUUCGAGCGUCAUUUCAACCCUCGCAGCCCAUCUGGGCAGCGGUGUUGGGGACCGGCACCACCGGCGAAGCCCUUAGGGGCCCAGCCGGCGCCGCCCCCGAAAUACAGUGGCGGUCUCGCUGCAGCCUCCCUUGCGUAGUAGCACACCUCGCACCGGAGCGCAGCGCGGCCACGCCGUAAAACCCCCGACUUUCUGAGUUUGACCUCGAAUCAGGAAGGAAUACCCGCUGAACUUAAGCAUAUCAAUAAGCGGAGGA
RNAcentral lists this unclassified non-coding RNA (365 nucleotides) under soil metagenome. RNAcentral's name for it is "partial contains 5.8S ribosomal RNA, internal transcribed spacer 2, and large subunit ribosomal RNA". The stretch from base 1 to 120 matches the Rfam family "5.8S ribosomal RNA", at positions 35 to 154 of the family's 154-position model. The record is from RNAcentral.